Long non-coding RNA from Molossus molossus (Pallas's mastiff bat), 651 nucleotides. RefSeq lists it as uncharacterized. The record is from RefSeq and is a predicted model, not a curated record. The transcript has 6 exons. NCBI's taxonomy places the organism in Eukaryota, Metazoa, Chordata, Mammalia, Chiroptera, Molossidae.
GAUUCACGGGGCACAUUUAAGUCUUUUAUCCAUUUUGAGUUUAUUUUUGUGUAUGGUGAUAGCACGAUUCCGCACCUUCAAAUGGUACUUCAUGCUUGGCAGAGGACUAAUGUACUGUAUAAUUUCAUCAUAACAAGAGGAUGUGCCAUGAGGUGAACAUGUGCUGUAGAUGAAAUGGCAUGAGAAAUAAGAAAGCUGCGUAUGACCAAGUGAUAAAGAGACUUUAAUCUGUUUCUUAUCCCCUAUGUGCAUCUUCCUCUCAUUUUCUGCAAAUGUAUGAAAAACAUGCAGUAGUGAGACCUUGUUUUACAUUCUGGAAACCUGGAUUUUUAAGAAAGGGCAAUGGCAGAGCUCCACAGGAACACUGUUUGCCAAGGCAGAAAAGUAAGACGAUGUAAUGAAUGGAGUUCCAGACUUGCCCCAUGCGUUGUGACAGCAGCUCUGAAAGGCUUCAGAGUGGACGUCCAGUUCGGAGAUAAACGCAGCCUCUAGUGCUCCAGAAAAAAAAAAGAAGUAAAGGAUGGAUUUAGUUCUGGACACAGAAGAGCUACUACUGAAUAAAAAGAAGGCAGCUCUACUAGAAGAGCAUCAAAAAAAAUCCAUCAGACUGCAUCAGUAUUGCCAGGUGCAACAUGGCUGUCAGCAACUGAC